GAUGAACGCUGGCGGCGUGCCUAAUACAUGCCAGUCGAGCGAACAGAUGAGGAGCUUGCUCCUCUGACGUUAGCGGCGGACGGGUGAGUAACACGUGGAUAACCUACCUAUAAGACUGGGAUAACUUCGGGAAACCGGAGCUAAUACCGGAUAAUAUAUUGAACCGCAUGGUUCAAUAGUGAAAGACGGUUUUGCUGUCACUUAUAGAUGGAUCCGCGCCGCAUUAGCUAGUUGGUAAGGUAACGGCUUACCAAGGCAACGAUGCGUAGCCGACCUGAGAGGGUGAUCGGCCACACUGGAACUGAGACACGGUCCAGACUCCUACGGGAGGCAGCAGUAGGGAAUCUUCCGCAAUGGGCGAAAGCCUGACGGAGCAACGCCGCGUGAGUGAUGAAGGUCUUCGGAUCGUAAAACUCUGUUAUUAGGGAAGAACAAAUGUGUAAGUAACUAUGCACGUCUUGACGGUGCCUAAUCAGAAAGCCACGGCUAACUACGUG
This 497-nucleotide ribosomal RNA is filed under the name uncultured bacterium. RNAcentral describes it as "partial 16S ribosomal RNA". It matches the Rfam family "Bacterial small subunit ribosomal RNA", at positions 28 to 507 of the family's 1533-position model. The record is from RNAcentral.